CACCCCCGUAACUUCGGGAUAAGGGGGACCUGAUGUGUGACUGGAUUUACUCCUCGAGCACUGAGGGUCGCAGAGACCAGGCCCAAGCGACUGUUUACUAAAAACACAGGUCCGUGCCAAGUUGAAAGACGAUGUAUACGGACUGACUCCUGCCCGGUGCUGGAAGGUUAAGGGGAAGUGUUAGGGCAACCGAAGCACUGAACUUAAGCCCCAGUAAACGGCGGUGGUAACUAUAACCAUCCUAAGGUAGCGAAAUUCCUUGUCGGGUAAGUUCCGACCUGCACGAAUGGAGUAACGAUUUGGGCGCUGUCUCCACCACGAACUCGGCGAAAUUGCAUUACGAGUAAAGAUGCUCGUUACGCGCAGCAGGACGGAGAGACCCCGGGACCUUUACUAUAGUUUGGUAUUGGUGAUCGGUACGACUUGUGUAGGAUAGGUGGGAGACUUUGAAGCAUGGACGCCAGUUCGUGUGGAGUCAACGUUGAAAUACCACUCUGGUCGUUCUGGUUAUCUAACCUAGGUCCAUUAUCUGGAUCAGGGACAGUGCCUGAUGGGUAGUUUGACUGGGGCGGUCGCCUCCCAAAAUGUAACGGAGGCGCCCAAAGGUUCCCUCAGCCUGGUUGGCAAUCAGGUUUUGAGUGUAAGUGCACAAGGGAGCUUGACUGUGAGAGGGACACCUCAAACAGGGACGAAAGUCGGGACUAGUGAUCUGACGGUGGCACGUGGAAGCGCCGUCACUCAACGGAUAAAAGGUACCCCGGGGAUAACAGGCUGAUCUUGCCCGAGCGUCCAUAGCGACGGCAUGGUUUGGCACCUCGAUGUCGGCUCGUCGCAUCCUGGGGCUGGAGUCGGUCCCAAGGGUUGGGCUGUUCGCCCAUUAAAGCGGCACGCGAGCUGGGUUUAGAACGUCGUGAGACAGUUCGGUCCCUAUCCGCUGCGCGCGUAGGAAUCUUGAGAGAGGCUGUCCUUAGUACGAGAGGACCGGGACGGACAAACCUCUGGUGUGCCAGUUGUUCUGCCAAGAGCACGGCUGGUUGGCUACGUUUGGAAGUGAUAACCGCUGAAAGCAUCUAAGCGGGAAGCACGUCUCAAGAUGAGGGUUCCCACAGAGUUAAUCUGGUAAGGCCCCCGGAAGACCACCGGGUUGAUAGGUCGGACGUGGAAGUGUAGCAAUACAUGAAGCUGACCGAUACUAAUAGGCCGAGGGCUUGUUC
Molecule: ribosomal RNA, 1214 nt
Filed under: metagenome
Description: bacterial LSU rRNA
Rfam family: Bacterial large subunit ribosomal RNA
Source: RNAcentral